CCUACGGGAGGCAUCAGUGAGGAAUAUUGGUCAAUGGCCGGAAGGCUGAACCAGCCAUGCCGCGUGAAGGUCAGUGCCCUAUGGGCGUUAAACUUCUUUUGUGCGGGAGCAAUAAUGGUCACUUGUGGCCAGACGAGAGUACCGUACGACUAAGCAUCGGCUAACUCCGUUCCAGCAGCCGCGGUAAUACUGGGGAUGCAAGCGUUAUCCGGAUUUCUUGGGUUUAAAGGGUGCGUAAGCUGGGAGGUAAGUCAGCGGUGAAAUGCCCCCGCGCAACGGGGUGAAGUGCCAUUGAUACUGCCUUGCUGGAAUGCGGAUGACGUGGGAGGAAUGUGUGGUGUAGCGGUGAAAUGCAUAGAUAUCACACAGAACACCGAUUGCGAAGGCAUCUCACGAAUCCGCGAUUGACGCUGAUGCACGAAAGCGUGGGUAUCAAACAGGAUUAGAUACCCCAGUAGUC
RNAcentral lists this ribosomal RNA (460 nucleotides) under uncultured bacterium. RNAcentral describes it as "partial 16S ribosomal RNA". It matches the Rfam family "Bacterial small subunit ribosomal RNA", at positions 338 to 795 of the family's 1533-position model. The record is from RNAcentral.